RNAcentral lists this ribosomal RNA (253 nucleotides) under uncultured bacterium. RNAcentral describes it as "partial 16S ribosomal RNA". It matches the Rfam family "Bacterial small subunit ribosomal RNA", at positions 524 to 776 of the family's 1533-position model. The record is from RNAcentral.
UACGUAGGGUGCAAGCGUUAAUCGGAAUUACUGGGCGUAAAGCGCACGUAGGCGGCUUUGUAAGUUAGAGGUGAAAGCCCAGGGCUUAACCCUGGAAUUGCCUUUAAGACUGCAUCGCUAGAAUCGUGGAGAGGUGAGUGGAAUUCCGAGUGUAGAGGUGAAAUUCGUAGAUAUUCGGAAGAACACCAGUGGCGAAGGCGACUCACUGGACACGUAUUGACGCUGAGGUGCGAAAGCGUGGGGAGCAAACAGG